AUACGUAGGGAGCAAGCGUUGUCCGGAUUUACUGGGUGUAAAGGGUGCGUAGGCGGCCGAGUAAGUCAGCUGUGAAAUCUAUGGGCUCAACCCAUAAACUGCAUUUGAAACUACCCGGCUUGAGUGAAGUAGAGGCAGGCGGAAUUCCCUGUGUAGCGGUGAAAUGCGUAGAGAUAGGGAGGAACACCAGUGGCGAAGGCGGCCUGCUGGGCUUUAACUGACGCUGAGGCACGAAAGCGUGGGUAGCAAACAGGAUUAGAUACCCUGGUAGUCCACGCUGUAAACGAUGAUUACUAGGUGUGGGGGGACUGACCCCUUCCGUGCCGGAGUAAACACAAUAAGUAAUCCACCUGGGGAGUACGGCCGCAAGGUUGAAACUCAAAGGAAUUGGCGGGG
Molecule: ribosomal RNA, 396 nt
Filed under: uncultured bacterium
Lineage: Bacteria
Description: partial 16S ribosomal RNA
Rfam family: Bacterial small subunit ribosomal RNA
Source: RNAcentral